CCUACGGGAGGCAGCAGUGAGGAAUAUUGGUCAAUGGGAGAGAGCCUGAACCAGCCAAGCCGCGUGAGGGAAGACGGCCCUAUGGGUUGUAAACCUCUUUUGUCGGAGAACAAAACCCGGGACGUGUCCCGGACUGCGAGUAUCCGAAGAAAAAGCAUCGGCUAACUCCGUGCCAGCAGCCGCGGUAAUACGGAGGAUGCGAGCGUUAUCCGGAUUUAUUGGGUUUAAAGGGUGCGUAGGCGGACCGUUAAGUCAGCGGUAAAAUUGCGGGGCUCAACCCCGUCGAGCCGUUGAAACUGGCAGACUUGAGUGGGCGAGAAGUACGCGGAAUGCGUGGUGUAGCGGUGAAAUGCAUAGAUAUCGCGCAGAACUCCGAUUGCGAAGGCAGCGUACCGGCGCCAGACUGACGCUGAGGCACGAAAGCGUGGGGAUCGAACAGGAUUAGAUACCCCUGUAGUC
This 459-nucleotide ribosomal RNA is filed under the name uncultured bacterium. Its description in RNAcentral is "partial 16S ribosomal RNA". It matches the Rfam family "Bacterial small subunit ribosomal RNA", at positions 338 to 795 of the family's 1533-position model. The record is from RNAcentral.